UGGGGAAUAUUGGACAAUGGGCGCAAGCCUGAUCCAGCCAUGCCGCGUGUGUGAAGAAGGCCUUUUGGUUGUAAAGCACUUUAAGCGAGGAGGAGGCUACUUGGAUUAAUACUCUAGGAUAGUGGACGUUACUCGCAGAAUAAGCACCGGCUAACUCUGUGCCAGCAGCCGCGGUAAUACAGAGGGUGCGAGCGUUAAUCGGAUUUACUGGGCGUAAAGCGUGCGUAGGCGGCUUCUUAAGUCGGGUGUGAAAUCCCUGAGCUUAACUUAGGAAUUGCAUUCGAUACUGGGAAGCUAGAGUAUGGGAGAGGAUGGUAGAAUUCCAGGUGUAGCGGUGAAAUGCGUAGAGAUCUGGAGGAAUACCGAUGGCGAAGGCAGCCAUCUGGCCUAAUACUGACGCUGAGGUACGAAAGCAUGGGGAGCAAACAGG
RNAcentral lists this ribosomal RNA (430 nucleotides) under Acidobacteriota bacterium. Its description in RNAcentral is "Acidobacteria bacterium partial 16S ribosomal RNA". It matches the Rfam family "Bacterial small subunit ribosomal RNA", at positions 355 to 776 of the family's 1533-position model. The record is from RNAcentral. Lineage: Bacteria; Pseudomonadati; Acidobacteriota.